This 305-nucleotide ribosomal RNA is filed under the name uncultured bacterium. Its description in RNAcentral is "bacterial SSU rRNA". It matches the Rfam family "Bacterial small subunit ribosomal RNA", at positions 335 to 639 of the family's 1533-position model. The record is from RNAcentral.
GUGCCUACGGGAGGCAGCAGUGGGGAAUAUUGCACAAUGGGGGAAACCCUGAUGCAGCGACGCCGCGUGAGUGAAGAAGUAAUUCGUUACGUAAAGCUCUAUCAGCAGGGAAGAAACACUGACCUUACGGUCAGCAGACGGUACCUGAGUAAGAAGCCCCGGCUAACUACGUGCCAGCAGCCGCGGUAAUACGUAGGGGGCAAGCGUUAUCCGGAUUUACUGGGUGUAAAGGGAGCGUAGACGGCAUGGCAAGUCUGGAGUGAAAGCCCGGGGCCCAACCCCGGGACUGCUCUGGAAACUGCCAU